CUAUCGACAGGCUUAACACAUGCAAGUCGAGGGGCAGCACAGGUAGCAAUACCGGGUGGCGACCGGCGCACGGGUGAGUAACGCGUAUGCAACUUGCCUAUCAGAGGGGGAUAACCCGGCGAAAGUCGGACUAAUACCGCAUGAAGCAGGGGCCCCGCAUGGGGAUAUUUGCUAAAGAUUCAUCGCUGAUAGAUAGGCAUGCGUUCCAUUAGGCAGUUGGCGGGGUAACGGCCCACCAAACCGACGAUGGAUAGGGGUUCUGAGAGGAAGGUCCCCCACAUUGGUACUGAGACACGGACCAAACUCCUACGGGAGGCAGCAGUGAGGAAUAUUGGUCAAUGGCCGAGAGGCUGAACCAGCCAAGUCGCGUGAGGGAUGAAGGUUCUAUGGAUCGUAAACCUCUUUUAUAAGGGAAUAAAGUGCGGGACGUGUCCCGUUUUGUAUGUACCUUAUGAAUAAGGAUCGGCUAACUCCGUGCCAGCAGCCGCGGUAAUACGGAGGAUCCGAGCGUUAUCCGGAUUUAUUGGGUUUAAAGGGUGCGUAGGCGGCCUUUUAAGUCAGCGGUGAAAGUCUGUGGCUCAACCAUAGAAUUGCCGUUGAAACUGGGGGGCUUGAGUAUGUUUGAGGCAGGCGGAAUGCGUGGUGUAGCGGUGAAAUGCAUAGAUAUCACGCAGAACCCCGAUUGCGAAGGCAGCCUGCCAAGCCAUUACUGACGCUGAUGCACGAAAGCGUGGGGAUCAAACAGGAUUAGAUACCCUGGUAGUCCACGCAGUAAACGAUGAUCACUAGCUGUUUGCGAUACACUGUAAGCGGCACAGCGAAAGCGUUAAGUGAUCCACCUGGGGAGUACGCCGGCAACGGUGAAACUCAAAGGAAUUGACGGGGGCCCGCACAAGCGGAGGAACAUGUGGUUUAAUUCGAUGAUACGCGAGGAACCUUACCCGGGUUUGAACGCAUUCGGACCGAGGUGGAAACACCUUUUCUAGCAAUAGCCGUUUGCGAGGUGCUGCAUGGUUGUCGUCAGCUCGUGCCGUGAGGUGUCGGCUUAAGUGCCAUAACGAGCGCAACCCUUGCCACUAGUUACUAACAGGUUAGGCUGAGGACUCUGGUGGGACUGCCAGCGUAAGCUGCGAGGAAGGCGGGGAUGACGUCAAAUCAGCACGGCCCUUACAUCCGGGGCGACACACGUGUUACAAUGGCGUGGACAAAGGGAUGCCACCUGGCGACAGGGAGCGAAUCCCCAAACCACGUCUCAGUUCGGAUCGGAGUCUGCAACCCGACUCCGUGAAGCUGGAUUCGCUAGUAAUCGCGCAUCAGCCAUGGCGCGGUGAAUACGUUCCCGGGCCUUGUACACACCGCCCGUCAAGCCAUGGGAGCCGGGGGUACCUGAAGUCCGUAACCGAAAGGAUCGGCCUAGGGUAAAACUGGUGACUG
RNAcentral lists this ribosomal RNA (1434 nucleotides) under uncultured organism. RNAcentral describes it as "SSU rRNA". It matches the Rfam family "Bacterial small subunit ribosomal RNA". The record is from RNAcentral.